RNAcentral lists this ribosomal RNA (779 nucleotides) under uncultured Neocallimastigales. RNAcentral describes it as "partial large subunit ribosomal RNA". It matches the Rfam family "Eukaryotic large subunit ribosomal RNA", at positions 20 to 643 of the family's 3401-position model. The record is from RNAcentral. Lineage: Eukaryota; Fungi; Neocallimastigomycota; Neocallimastigomycetes; Neocallimastigales.
AUCACUACGCUAGAUGCAUAUCAAUAAGCGGAGGAAAAGAAACUAACAAGGAUUCCCUUAGUAACGGCGAGGUGAAGCGGGAAGAGCUCAAAUUUGAAAUCUUCAAGGGUUCUACCUUUACGAAUUGUAGUUUAUAGAAGUGUUUUCUGUUAGUAGAGUUCGGCUAAAAGUUCUUUGGAAUAGGACAUCAUAGAGGGUGAGAAUCCCGUAUUUGAUCGUUACUUUCCAGCUGUGUGAUACACUUUCAAAGAGUCGGAUUGUUUGGGAAUGCAGUCCAAAAUGGGUGGUAAAUUUCAUCUAAAGCUAAAUAUUGGCGAGAGACCGAUAGCGAACAAGUACCGUGAGGGAAAGAUGAAAAGAACUUUGAAAAGAGAGUUAAACAGUACGUGAAAUUGUCAAAAGGGAAGCGUUUGACACCAGUGUUGUUUAGUUGAAAAUCAAUUCAAUAUUUUUCGAUUUUAAGUAGUAUUGACUUCAUCAGCUUGCUGCUUUCUUUUCAGGAAUUAUUGAAUGCACUUUUCAGUUAACAAGUCAACAUCAAUUUCUUUUGUUGUAAAAGGGUAAGAGGAAGGUGGCUUACGCUUCGGCGUAAGUGUUUAUAGCCUUUUACCUCUGCAAUCGGAGAGAUUGAGGACAGCAGCGUAGACUCUUCGGGGUUAGAUACACUUGUGCUAAGCUAUAGCCUUGUAUAGACAACUUGUUGACUAUGCUCAGUCAUGUAGCUUACUCGCUUGUGCUAUUUUACCUACGCUUAGGAUGUUGACACACGCGCGUGCUCG